UGGCUAAAAGAUGCUAGCUGCAGAAUCGCCUUCAAGGACUUGCGCGCUGAUUAAUGGCCUCCUUUUUAUUUUUUUCUACUAAUCUUUGAGUUAACACGUACUAAACAUGAGUUGUAUUUGCACCACAGCGCCGCCACGCCUUGAUGCUCAUGACAAUAAUAGCAUGUAUAGUUAUCUUUAUUGAAGUGAAUUAGGUUUAAAUCGCCUUCAUGCAUGAAUGAAUGAUGUUUCUGAAAUUGUACACAUAAUAAUCCACAAUGAUCACAUCACACAAAACUAAAAUUGCAAGUCAAAAUUACAUAUUGUCAAUAUUUUUAGAGACCCCCCCAAAAUUUCAAAAAUCACGUUUUCAGGGGAGCCCAUUUUCUUUUUAAGGGGAGCCGAGCUCCCCCUAGCGCCCUCGUAGUUUGCACCCUGAGAUUACUUUGCA
Molecule: long non-coding RNA, 430 nt
Organism: Etheostoma spectabile (orangethroat darter)
Lineage: Eukaryota; Metazoa; Chordata; Actinopteri; Perciformes; Percidae
Exons: 3
Source: RefSeq, a predicted model, not a curated record